RNAcentral lists this long non-coding RNA (536 nucleotides) under Monodelphis domestica (gray short-tailed opossum). RNAcentral's name for it is "lncRNA (ENSMODG00000035402.2)". The record is from RNAcentral. Lineage: Eukaryota; Metazoa; Chordata; Mammalia; Didelphimorphia; Didelphidae.
AUCUAGCCGAGAAGCCCCUAUUGGAGACUUUUCUGCUAAAGACAACCUGUCUAGGAGAUCAGCAGCUGGUGGAACAAUGACCAGCCAACUUUAUGAGACUGUUCAAGGCUACAGGGCCAGUAGAGCAGCAUCCAGCAGAGGCUCAUGGGGAGCAAGACAAAAGGAGCAGCAUAGGAACCUCACUGAACGCUGUACUGGGGGCAUGAGUUGUCUUUCCAGCUACACUGCUGCAAGUAGAAUCUUCAUAGAGCUUUGUGUUGCAGGAAUGAAUAAUGAAGCAUUCUGAUAGAAGACAGGAAACUUCUGAUAGAGAAGAGAAACUUCAUUUUGGAUCUGCUUUUCACCAAUAAGAAGGAGCUGGCUCCUGGGCAACUUUGGGGACAAAUGGCCAUAUCAUCUUAGCAUUUGUAUUAAAGAAGUGGAAAACUAGACCUAUUGUGAUAUACACAUUUGGAAGGGCUGGAUUGAGAUCACCAAUAAGAAGCAUAUACCAGGUGGAUGCUGGAAUCUUCCUUCCUUCUCCCUUCAUGGAUUGA